RNAcentral lists this ribosomal RNA (259 nucleotides) under uncultured bacterium. RNAcentral describes it as "partial 16S ribosomal RNA". It matches the Rfam family "Bacterial small subunit ribosomal RNA", at positions 793 to 1055 of the family's 1533-position model. The record is from RNAcentral.
GUCCACGCCCUAAACGAUGAUCACUCGAUGUGUGCGAUACACUGUACGCGUCUGAGCGAAAGCAUUAAGUGAUCCACCUGGGGAGUACGACCGCAAGGUUGAAACUCAAAGGAAUUGACGGGGGCCCCGCACAAGCGGAGGAGCAUGUGGUUUAAUUCGAUGAUACGCGAGGAACCUUACCAGGGCUUGAAAGUUAGUGAAUGAUGUGGAAACAUGUCAGUCAGCAAUGACACGAAACUAGGUGCUGCAUGGCUGUCGU